UACGAAGGUGGCAAGCGUUGUUCGGAAUUAUUGGGCGUAAAGGGCGCGUAGGCGGACUUGUAAGUCGAUUGUGAAAACCCUGGGCUUAACCCGGGAACUGCAGUCGAAACUACAAGUCUUGAAUGCUCGAGAGGAUGGUAGAAUUCCAGGUGUAGAGGUGAAAUUCGUAGAUAUCUGGAGGAAUACCUGAGGCGAAAGCGGCCAUCUGGCGAGACAUUGACGCUGAGGCGCGAAAGCGUGGGGAUCAAACAGGAUUAGAUACCCUGGUAGUCCACGCCAUAAACUAUGGAUACUAGAUGUUCGAGGAGUUAACCCCUUGAGUAUCAAAGCUAACGCAUUAAGUAUCCCGCCUGGGAAGUACGGCCGCAAGGCUAAA
RNAcentral lists this ribosomal RNA (376 nucleotides) under uncultured bacterium. Its description in RNAcentral is "bacterial SSU rRNA". It matches the Rfam family "Bacterial small subunit ribosomal RNA", at positions 524 to 898 of the family's 1533-position model. The record is from RNAcentral.